UAUGUGAUCGUCUCUCGCAUAUCAAUAAGCGGAGGAAAAGAAACUAACAAGGAUUCCCCUAGUAACGGCGAGUGAAGCGGGAAGAGCUCAAAUUUGAAAUCUUAAAGGGUUUCCCUUUACGAAUUGUAGUUUAAAGAAGUGUUUUCUGUUGAGGUUUUGGUAAAAGUUCUUUGGAAUAGGAACAUCAUAGAGGGUGAGAAUCCCCUAUUUGACCUUUACUUUCAACUUUGUGAUACACUUUCAAAGAGUCGGAUUGUUUGGGAAUGCAGUCCAAAAUGGGUGGUAAAUUUCAUCUAAAGCUAAAUAUUGGCGAGAGACCGAUAGCGAACAAGUACCGUGAGGGAAAGAUGAAAAGAACUUUGAGAAGAGAGUUAAACAGUACGUGAAAUUGUCAAAAGGGAAGCGUUUGACACCAGUGUUGUUUUUCUGAAAAUCAAUUAAAGAACUGUUUAUGCUAAGCUGUUUAGACUUUAUCAGCUAACUGUUUAGUUUUGAGCUUUUCUUUAAUGCACUUUUCAGUUAACAAGUCAACAUCAAUUUCUUUUGCUGUAAAAAAGCUUGAGGAAGGUGGCUUGAGAUUCGUCUUAAGUGUUUAUAGCCUCUUGCCUAUGCAGUCGGAGAGAUUGAGGUCUGCAGCGUAGAUCCUUCGGGGCUAAAUGCAUUUGUGCUAAGUUAUAGCAUUUUAUAGACAACUUGUUGACUAUGAUCUUGUCUUGUAGCUUACUCGCUUAUGUUAUUUUACCUACGCUUAGGAUGUUGACUGAUAUGUAGUCGU
RNAcentral lists this ribosomal RNA (775 nucleotides) under uncultured Neocallimastigales. RNAcentral's name for it is "partial large subunit ribosomal RNA". It matches the Rfam family "Eukaryotic large subunit ribosomal RNA", at positions 24 to 643 of the family's 3401-position model. The record is from RNAcentral. Lineage: Eukaryota; Fungi; Neocallimastigomycota; Neocallimastigomycetes; Neocallimastigales.